CACGUAGGGCGCAAGCGUUGUCCGGAAUUAUUGGGCGUAAAGAGCUCGUAGGCGGUCUGUUGCGUCCGCUGUGAAAACCCGGGGCUUAACCCUGGGCUGGCAGUGGAUACGGACAGACUAGAGGUAGGUAGGGGAGAAUGGAAUUCCCGGUGUAGCGGUGAAAUGCGCAGAUAUCGGGAGGAACACCGGUGGCGAAGGCGGUUCUCUGGGCCUUACCUGACGCUGAGGAGCGAAAGCGUGGGGAGUGAACAGG
RNAcentral lists this ribosomal RNA (253 nucleotides) under uncultured bacterium. RNAcentral's name for it is "partial 16S ribosomal RNA". It matches the Rfam family "Bacterial small subunit ribosomal RNA", at positions 524 to 776 of the family's 1533-position model. The record is from RNAcentral.